Carassius gibelio (silver crucian carp) is the source of this 4362-nucleotide long non-coding RNA. RefSeq lists it as uncharacterized. NCBI's taxonomy places the organism in Eukaryota, Metazoa, Chordata, Actinopteri, Cypriniformes, Cyprinidae. The record is from RefSeq and is a predicted model, not a curated record. The transcript has 3 exons.
GCAUACUCAUCAGCUGUGAUCAGCUGGCCUACUUGUUUGGGAAGUCUGCUCAAGGCCGGAGUCCAAUCUGAAUUGUGUGUGAAAGACGGAAUAAAUGUGAGGCCUUUCAUGAGCAGGGAUGACUGUGAGGGAGAGAGAGUAAAGUGUUUGGAAAGAUUCACAACAAGCCUGUGUGCACCCUUUCUCGGGUGUUCACUCACUGCAAGUUUAAAUAUCGUGCCCAGUGUUCCAACAUGUUCCUGGCUGUCUCUGCAGUCCAGUGCAGGCCGUCACUCUCUACCUGAAACUGAUCCUCUGGCAGGAGGGGGAUGAAGGAAUAAUUUUCCUCUAUGUAAUUGUUCAAUUCAUCUAAAAAUAUUUUUUCUCCUUCUGGGAGAGAUUGGGGGAUAUUGAUCAGGGGGAUCCACAGUUGGGCCUCUGGCAGUCUCUCUUGUGCCACCUGACUCAAUCUGGCACACUCUCUCAUCGCUGAGAUGCGUAAUCUUUGUGUGCGGUUAUUCAGGCCGAAUGCCAAGACUAUUUUUUCUACUUGUGUGUCUACUGUAGCUUUUUCUAUCAGAUUGGCCGCGUGCUGCAAUUUAGCCCCUGGAAAACUGUCAAUCUGUAAAUCAGGAAUGUCAAAAGCAGGAAUCCUGCUCAAAUUGGAGUCCCCGAUGACCACGUGUUUCUCUUUGAGUGCCAGUUUCCACUCAUUGAACUUCUUGUUAGUUCUAAGAGAUAAUGUUUUCCAUUUUUUUGGAAGUUUCCCCCCUCUCUGUCUCCUGAGGAGCCCCUGGUUGAAGAGAUGUCACAGAAUAUUCUGAAAAAUCAAAGUCUGAGAGAUUUGGUGACCCUGACGGAUUUUGGAAGAUCUGGGCACUCUCAGCUGUGUCCCUUAGAGGAUUUACUCUAUGUACUGCAUUGGCUACAAUGGGGACCAGAGAAGGCAGGCCUGUGGUUAUCGGGGCCUCAGCCUCAGAGGGGGCAAAAGGAGAGAAAAGUUCCUGUGACAGCUGACCCGUAAACUCAUCUAAAUCAUCCAGUCUGUCACCCUGUGCAGGAGUUAACUGAUCCUCCUCCUCAUCAUCAUCAUCAAAACUCACUAAGAGAUUUUUCUCAGCUUGUUCUGUAACGACUGGUGGAGUUUUUGGUCUCUGUUCUGUCAGGUGUUUUUUCUUUUCUGGUCUUUUCCCCUUAGGAGACUGUAUAGGGGCCUGUAUAGGGGCCUGUACAGGAGGGUUCAGAGGUGGAAAAUCAUCUCCCAGAAGCCAGUCGUUCCUCAUAGGAGACCAGCCUGACAUUAAAGUGGGCGAUGUUUGUAUCUGGAUGUGUGUGACCCCUGUCUUAGGUCUGACGACCCCUGUGUUGACCGUUUCUGUCCCCUGCUGAGCUGAGGCUAGAUCUGCACCACUAACCACCUGAGCAAAUGUUCUGUUGCUACUGGUUUCAGAAUUCGAUGGUACUCUAGACCCGGAUGGAGUCCCAGAACGCAAUUCGGUCAGGACCAAAGUUUCGGCCUGCUGAAUUGCCCUCUGGGAGAUCCUUUUGCCAAAAUUUCUCAUCGCCCAUUUUACAGCGAUCUCAAAAGCGUGUAACCAGUCUUUUCUCUGUGUCUCUCCCCGUAAGAUCCCCAGUGUGUGCUUUAUGAUAUCCUCAUAAUGUUGCUGUAACACCAACUGUGUCGUAAACGCCCAGUUCUUUGCAUUACCCUCCAGCAAUUCUUUUGUGGACAUUGUGGGGGCAAAGGGUUUGAUCACACUUUUAAGAAGCUCUGUUAACCUUUUAAGAGUGACAGGCUGGUUAUCUUCUAUCCGUGUGUCAAUAUUACUGAGGUGAUGGACAGAUCUGAUCAGAUGAUACAUAUUCUUAAUAAUUCUCCGAAAAGUGGGAGAAGCAGGAGAGUAUUCUGUAUUUUUUUGUGAAUCAAAGUGAGUUUUUUGGCCCAUUCUUUUUUUCUGGUGAACAUAUUUUUGUGCAAACUGGCCAUUCUCACGUCUCCUGUUCUUUUCUACAUUACGAGGAGAAUAUUGUGUGUUUCUGUAUCUCUGGUCAGUAAACCUGUUCUGUUCAGUGGGGUAAAAAAUCCUAUUUUGCCCAAAAGUCACUCUCUUUUGUUUGGGUUUAAAUCCCCGAUUUAAAGGGCGUCGAUCACGUGACUGACGACGGAAAGGAUUUACAGUAUUCUCCGAUCGAGUUUCAUUCUGUACUCUGUUACUGUAACCCGCGAGUGAUUCUCCGUGUCUGAUGACCUCAUAUGGGAAGUCACGAGAUCGCUCGACAAAAUAAUCGUCCCUCAUAAAUCGUCCCCGUCUGGGGAAAUCCCUGUUAUCUGUGUGAGGGAUCAGACGCGCUCGAGGGGUCGUGAAACGACCCUUGUUCUGAAAAACGAACACCAUCCUUAUUUUACUGAACGAUCAAAUCCACAACUGUGUAUUCUUUUAAUCUUUUAUUCUAUUUCUGAAAAUGAAAAAAAAUGUUUUUUUUGUCCUUUUAUAUUUUUUUAACUUUUUUUUGGAUUUUCUUGUGUUUUUUUUAACAAUAAAGAGAUAAACCAACUUUUUUUGGAUUUUGUAGUGUUUUUUUCAACAGUAUGAAAUGAACCAGAUGUGUGAUUUUAUAUGAAAUCAAAAGAAAAAAGAUCAAAGGAUCAAAAUAAAAUUUCAAAAUAAUGGAAAAAAACAAAAAUAUAUUUUCUUUUAGGGAAAUAAAUGUUUCUGUGUUCAAGCCUAUAUCGCGACGUUUCGAUACUUUGAUGUAUCUUCUUCAGGCAGGCUUGAACUUUUAAAUUUUCUGUUUUAUCUCGAGAUACAAAAUAACCGUUUUACUAAAUCACCAACCAAGAUGUUACUGCAAGCAGUGCAACAAUCCUUCUGACUCAGACUGCGUUCCGUUAGGUAUAUCAAAGCCAGUCGAUGACGUCAUCGGCACGCCAUCCUCCAAUCCCUUCAAACCAAUACAAAAUUUAAACCAAACAAGCACACGAUGCAUUUUUCAAAUUUGAAUUAUGUGCGUUGCAUUUUUUAUUUUUUAUUUAUUUUUAAUCGAUGCAUGUUGCUUUUUUUAUAGAGAAUUUUUUUCUUUGCUUUUUUCAAAUUUAAACGAUGCUCUUUGCCUCUUUCAAUUUGAAAAAUGCAGCUCCUCAGUCUGCAUGUAACAAAGAAAUCAAUGCAUCCCUCAAAUGUGCUCCAAGUAGCCAUAAAUAAUAUUUUUUAAUCAUUUAUGACUAUUAAAGCCCUCUAGUGCCUCAUAAUAUAUGUAUUUUUAUUUAUUGUAUAUUUAUGUAUAUUCAGUUCUGUUUCUAUAUGUUUUUCACAAUCAUCUCUUUCUGUUUUAUAGAGAGAUACUGAAAAAAAUAUAUUCUAGUGCCCAUGAAGUAUUUAUAAUUUUAUCUUUAUGCUUUUUUAUGCUUUUUAUAUUUGUAUUAUAUUUAACCUCGUGUGUCUUUAUAAGUAAUCCAUGAAAACCAUGAAUUCUAGUGCCCAUGAAGUAUGUAUUCAUAUUUUAAUUUUUUAAUAUGUAUUAGGGUGUAUAUUUAUUUAUUUUAAUAAUAAUAAUAAAAAAAGAAGAACAUAUGAAAGCCCAUAAAGUGUGGUUCCGCUGAGUACCCACUAGAGGUCAUGAGAAGAGAGGGCCCAGAGAGGGAGGCUCAGGCUGGGUUAGGAAAAAGGAGAGUUUUCCCAGGAUAGGACCCUGAGGGUCCCACUCUGGGUUGUGCACGGUCCAUCCCUCCACUGGUCACCCCCAAAUCACAUACAGACCAAGAGAGGUCACAGCAGGCCAACUGUUAAGGGCUGUUCAUAGGGCUAUUGAGGCCAGGGCUAUUCAGUUUAGGUCUGGUUAAGUUUAGGUUUGUGCAGGAUGGGUCUGUAAAAUCCAGGUAUGAAUCCUGGGGUGUCUGGUAGGUUUUAGGUUUUGGAUAUGGUGGGUUGGUUAGGUUUAGGUUGUGUUAUGUUUAGUCGGUUAGGUUUAGGUUUGGGUUAAGGUCAGGUAGAUCUGCUAAGUCUCAUUAAGACCUCUUGGGAAUUUUGUAUCCAGUCUCAUGAUCCAUAAUCUUUCAAAUUUGAGUCUAUCACACAACGACCAGAAUGGGUCAGAUUGAAGUCCAGUCACCCUGAAGGCCUCAAGGCCGUGGGUGAGGAAGUGCUGGACUACGUGUCUACGUUUCUCUAUUUUAUUUUUUAUGUUGUGUGUGUGCUGAUAGACUCGGACCUUUAAAGCAUUUUUUGUCUGGCCUACAUAUUGUUUGGAACACUUUGUACAAUAAAUCAAAUAAAUACAGUUCUCUGUUACUGGAGUGAGAUGCUGUGAGAUCUGAAAGACUUGUUUUGUUGAACGAUUGAAUACCCAUUUUUUCUGAUCAAAGUAUUUACAGAGUGACUUUUU